GGAUGCGAUCAUACCAGCACUAAAGCACCGGAUCCCAUCAGAACUCCGAAGUUGAGCGUGCUUGGGCGAGAGUAGUACUAGGAUGGGUGACCUCCUGGGAAGUCCUUGUGUUGCAUUCC
RNAcentral lists this ribosomal RNA (119 nucleotides) under Triticum aestivum (bread wheat). Lineage: Eukaryota; Viridiplantae; Streptophyta; Magnoliopsida; Poales; Poaceae. RNAcentral also lists the same sequence under 1 other name. The record is from RNAcentral.